This 91-nucleotide transfer RNA is filed under the name Streptomyces camponoticapitis. RNAcentral's name for it is "tRNA-Arg". Lineage: Bacteria; Bacillati; Actinomycetota; Actinomycetes; Kitasatosporales; Streptomycetaceae. The record is from RNAcentral.
GGCGCUGCUGACGGGCGGCACCGCCGGGGCCGGCUCCGGCCCGGUGCGGGCGGCCGAGCCGCCCGCCGCGCUCGGGCACGCGGCCCCGCCC